This 478-nucleotide ribosomal RNA is filed under the name uncultured bacterium. RNAcentral's name for it is "partial 16S ribosomal RNA". It matches the Rfam family "Bacterial small subunit ribosomal RNA", at positions 28 to 523 of the family's 1533-position model. The record is from RNAcentral.
GACGAACGCUGGCGGCGUGCUUAACACAUGCAAGUCGAACGGUAAGGCCCUUCGGGGUACACGAGUGGCGAACGGGUGAGUAACUCGUGGGUGAUCUGCCCUGCACUUCGGGAUAAGCCUGGGAAACUGGGUCUAAUACCGGAUAGGACCACUGCCUGCAUGGGUGGUGGUGGAAAGCUUUUGCGGUGUGGGAUGGGCCCGCGGCCUAUCAGCUUGUUGGUGGGGUGAUGGCCUACCAAGGCGACGACGGGUAGCCGGCCUGAGAGGGUGACCGGCCACACUGGGACUGAGAUACGGCCCAGACUCCUACGGGAAGCAGCAGUGGGGAAUAUUGCACAAUGGGCGCAAGCCUGAUGCAGCGACGCCGCGUGAGGGAUGACGGCCUUCGGGUUGUAAACCUCUUUCAGCACCGACGAAGCGCAAGUGACGGUAGGUGCAGAAGAAGGACCGGCCAACUGCGUGCCAGCCGCCGCCGUAA